Molecule: small RNA, 136 nt
Filed under: Chrysemys picta bellii (western painted turtle)
Lineage: Eukaryota; Metazoa; Chordata; Testudines; Emydidae
Description: TUC338 (ENSCPBG00000012804.1)
Source: RNAcentral
UGGACAUCUCUGGAGAGUGAUCUUCUCUUUUUGGCCACAGAAUAUCCCCCACACUGUGCCUCAACCCUGACCUGGAAAGACAACCUCUAGGGCUGAGUGGGUGCGCUCUCCAUGGCCUAUUCAGUCCUGGGCCUAA